This 258-nucleotide ribosomal RNA is filed under the name uncultured bacterium. RNAcentral's name for it is "partial 16S ribosomal RNA". It matches the Rfam family "Bacterial small subunit ribosomal RNA", at positions 96 to 354 of the family's 1533-position model. The record is from RNAcentral.
UGGCGGACGGGUGAGUAACGCGUGGAAAACCUGCCGUAUACUGGGGGAUAACACUUAGAAAUAGGUGCUAAUACCGCAUAAGCGCACAGCUUCGCAUGAAGCGGUGUGAAAAACUCUGGUGGUAUACGAUGGUUCCGCGUCUGAUUAGCUAGUUGGUGGGGUAAUGGCCUACCAAGGCAACGAUCAGUAGCCGGCCUGAGAGGGUGAACGGCCACAUUGGGACUGAGANACGGCCCAAACUCCUACGGAAGGCAGCAG